Molecule: long non-coding RNA, 652 nt
Filed under: Struthio camelus australis
Lineage: Eukaryota; Metazoa; Chordata; Aves; Struthioniformes; Struthionidae
Description: lncRNA (ENSSCUG00000002675.1)
Source: RNAcentral
GGCUUGCGCCGCGGGCCGUAUCGACCGGGACGGCCGCUAUGCUGGGACCUUCCUUCCCUUCCUGGCUCUCUGCUCCCAGUUCACGAUGAUGGAUGGAGACAUGGGAGCCCUUAGCCUGGGCUUUGGGUUCUCCGUUGCAUGUUCCGGCUGGUCUGUUUGAGCCUGACCCUGUCUGAUCUCAGCACACACAGGGCAGAGUGGAGGCUGCCUCAGGGGUUCUGGAUUGCUUCUCUUUUCCAAGGAGGCUGCUCCUAAUAACCUCUCUCUCGGUGCCCUUGUCCCUGCAGCCAUGGGGACACGGCGGUGCAGGUGGAGUCCAUGGUCAGGAGAGCGCUGCAGGCCUCCAACACCAGCUACGUGCUCCUGCAGAGCCUGCUGGAGGACAGCGUGACGCUGGAGACGCAGCACGAGCUGGAGGCCAGGUACAAGGAAAUCCAGCGGGCGCAGGAGGAGCUGGGCGCUGGCAUGCUGGAGGUGGCAGCGGAGGCCAAGAGAGCUUUCACAGCCGUCCACCAGGCAAACGCGGACAUGGCCAAGAAACUGCUGCCAGCAGCUGCUCUGGGCCAGCAGGCGCUGCUGGCACGGGCUGAGACCCUGAUGCAGGACCUGGCGGCGUUGGAGCAGGCAGCAAAGGCCAGGGAGCCGUCGGCCC